AGAGUUUGAUCCUGGCUCAGAACGAACGCUGGCGGCAUGCCUAACACAUGCAAGUCGGACGGAUGGCUUUGGCCAUCAGUGGCGCACGGGUGAGUAGCGCGUGGGAACCUGUCCUGUUGUGGGGGAUAACCGAGGGAAACUUCGGCUAAUACCGCAUGCGCCCCUGGGAGACUGGGGGGAAAGAUUUAUCGCAGGAGGAG
Molecule: ribosomal RNA, 200 nt
Filed under: uncultured bacterium
Lineage: Bacteria
Description: partial 16S ribosomal RNA
Rfam family: Bacterial small subunit ribosomal RNA
Source: RNAcentral